This 497-nucleotide ribosomal RNA is filed under the name uncultured bacterium. RNAcentral describes it as "partial 16S ribosomal RNA". It matches the Rfam family "Bacterial small subunit ribosomal RNA", at positions 28 to 507 of the family's 1533-position model. The record is from RNAcentral.
GAUGAACGCUGGCGGCGUGCCUAAUACAUGCAAGUCGUGCGAACAGACGAGGAGCUUGCUCCUCUGACGUUAGCGGCGGACGGGUGAGUAACACGUGGAUAACCUACCUAUAAGACUGGGAUAACUUCGGGAAACCGGAGCUAGUACCGGAUAAUAUAUUGAACCGCAUGGUUCAAUAGUGAAAGACGGUUUUGCUGUCACUUAUAGAUGGAUCCGCGCCGCAUUAGCUAGUUGGUAAGGUAACGGCUUACCAAGGCAACGAUGCGUAGCCGACCUGAGAGGGUGAUCGGCCACACUGGAACUGAGACACGGUCCAGACUCCCACGGGAGGCAGCAGUAGGGAAUCUUCCGCAAUGGGCGAAAGCCUGACGGAGCAACGCCGCGUGAGUGAUGAAGGUCUUCGGAACGUAAAACUCUGUUAUUAGGGAAGAACAAAUGUGUAAGUAACUAUGCACGUCUUGACGGUACCUAAUCAGAAAGCCACGGCUAACUACGUG